Molecule: ribosomal RNA, 253 nt
Filed under: uncultured bacterium
Lineage: Bacteria
Description: partial 16S ribosomal RNA
Rfam family: Bacterial small subunit ribosomal RNA
Source: RNAcentral
UACGAAGGGGGCUAGCGUUGCUCGGAAUCACUGGGCGUAAAGCGCACGUAGGCGGAUCUUUAAGUCAGGGGUGAAAUCCCAAGGCUCAACCUUGGAACUGCCUUUGAUACUGGGGAUCUCGAGUCCGGAAGAGGUGAGUGGAACUGCGAGUGUAGAGGUGAAAUUCGUAGAUAUUCGCAAGAACACCAGUGGCGAAGGCGGCUCACUGGUCCGGUACUGACGCUGAGGUGCGAAAGCCAGGGGAGCAAACGGG